CAGCCGCCGCGGGAAUACGAAGGGGGCUAGCGUUGCUCGGAAUUACUGGGCGUAAAGGGAGCGUAGGCGGAUCGUUUAGUCAGGGGUGAAAUCCCGGGGCUCAACCUCGGAACUGCCUUUGAUACUGGCGAUCUUGUGUAUGGGAGAGGUGUGUGGAACUCCGAGUGUAGAGGUGAAAUUCGUAGAUAUUCGGAAGAACACCAGUGGCGAAGGCGACACACUGGCCCAUUACUGACGCUGAGGCUCGAAAGCUAGGGGAGCAAACAGGAUUAGAUACCCCCGUAGUCCCUGUCUCUUAUAC
RNAcentral lists this ribosomal RNA (301 nucleotides) under uncultured bacterium. Its description in RNAcentral is "partial 16S ribosomal RNA". It matches the Rfam family "Bacterial small subunit ribosomal RNA", at positions 509 to 807 of the family's 1533-position model. The record is from RNAcentral.